GGUCUCUGGUAACCCGAUGCGUGGCCUUUUUGCUCUCCCUUCCCUCACAGGUCGAUGGACGCUGAUGUCCCGACCCAUCAU
Molecule: ribosomal RNA, 81 nt
Filed under: Oldenlandia corymbosa
Lineage: Eukaryota; Viridiplantae; Streptophyta; Magnoliopsida; Gentianales; Rubiaceae
Description: partial 18S ribosomal RNA
Source: RNAcentral